This 492-nucleotide ribosomal RNA is filed under the name uncultured bacterium. RNAcentral describes it as "partial 16S ribosomal RNA". It matches the Rfam family "Bacterial small subunit ribosomal RNA", at positions 29 to 507 of the family's 1533-position model. The record is from RNAcentral.
AGUGAACGCUGGCGGUAGGCCUAACACAUGCAAGUCGAACGGCAGCACAGUAAGAGCUUGCUCUUACGGGUGGCGAGUGGCGGACGGGUGAGGAAUACAUCGUAAUCUACUUUUUCGUGGGGGAUAACGUAGGGAAACUUACGCUAAUACCGCAUACGACCUACGGGUGAAAGCAGGGGAUCUUCGGACCUUGCGCGAUUGAAUGAGCCGAUGUCGGAUUAGCUAGUUGGCGGGGUAAAGGCCCACCAAGUCGACGAUCCGUAGCUGGUCUGAGAGGAUGAUCAGCCACACUGGAGCUGAGACACGGUCCAGACUCCUACGGGAGGCAGCAGUGGGGAAUAUUGGACAAUGGGCGCAAGCCUGAUCCAGCCAUACCGCGUGGGUGAAGAAGGCCUUCGGGUUGUAAAGCCCUUUUGUUGGGAAAGAAAAGCAGCAGGUUAAUACCCCGCUGUUCUGACGGUACCCAAAGAAUAAGCACCGGCUAACUUCGUG